GACGAACGCUGGCGGCGUGCUUAACACAUGCAAGUCGAACGGAAAGGCCCUGCUUUUGUGGGGUGCUCGAGUGGCGAACGGGUGAGUAACACGUGAGUAACCUGCCCUUGACUUUGGGAUAACUUCAGGAAACUCGGGCUAAUACCGGAUAGGAGCUCCUGCUGCAUGGUGGGGGUUGGAAAGUUUCGGCGGUUGGGGAUGGACUCGCGGCUUAUCAGCUUGUUGGUGGGGUAGUGGAUGACCAAGGCUUUGACGGGUAGCCGGCCUGAGAGGGUGACCGGCCACAUGAGGACUGAGAGAGGGCGCAGACUCGUAUGGGAGGCAGUGGGGGGGAAUAUGGCACAAUGGGCGGAAGCCUGAUGCAGCAACGCCGCGUGCGGGAUGACGGCCUUCGGGGUGUAAACCGCUUUCGCCUGUGCCGAAGCGUGAGUGACGGUAACGGGUAAGGAAGCACCGGCUAACUACGUG
RNAcentral lists this ribosomal RNA (468 nucleotides) under uncultured bacterium. Its description in RNAcentral is "partial 16S ribosomal RNA". It matches the Rfam family "Bacterial small subunit ribosomal RNA", at positions 28 to 507 of the family's 1533-position model. The record is from RNAcentral.